RNAcentral lists this ribosomal RNA (497 nucleotides) under uncultured bacterium. RNAcentral's name for it is "partial 16S ribosomal RNA". It matches the Rfam family "Bacterial small subunit ribosomal RNA", at positions 28 to 507 of the family's 1533-position model. The record is from RNAcentral.
GACGAACGCUGGCGGCGUGCCUAAUACAUGCAAGUUGAGCACUGAAGGUUGGUACUUGUACCAACUGGAUGAGCAGCGAACGGGUGAGUAACGCGUGGGGAAUCUGCCUUUGAGCGGGGGACAACAUUUGGAAACGAAUGCUAAUACCGCAUAAAAACUUUAAACACAAGUUUUAAGUUUGGAAGAUGCAAUUGCAUCACUCAAAGAUGAUCCCGCGUUGUAUUAGCUAGUUGGUGAGGUAAAGGCUCACCAAGGCGAUGAUACAUAGCCGACCUGAGAGGGUGAUCGGCCACAUUGGGACUGAGACACGGCCCAAACUCCUACGGGAGGCAGCAGUAGGGAAUCUUCGGCAAGGGACGAAAGUCUGACCGAGCAACGCCGCGUGAGUGAAGAAGGUUUUCGGAUCGUAAAACUCUGUUGGUAGAGAAGAACGUUGGUGAGAGUGGAAAGCUCAUCAAGUGACGGUAACUACCCAGAAAGGGACGGCUAACUACGUG